Armigeres subalbatus is the source of this 902-nucleotide long non-coding RNA. RefSeq lists it as uncharacterized. The record is from RefSeq and is a predicted model, not a curated record. Lineage: Eukaryota; Metazoa; Arthropoda; Insecta; Diptera; Culicidae. The transcript has 2 exons.
CCAGCACCGCCAGAGGCGCUAGUGUAUUUUACUCAUAUUAUGGUAAAUUUAUUUGAAAGUGUUUGCUGUGAGUUUUGACAGAUUCCUGACACUGUCUGUCAGAAGAGUGAUUGAAGAAAAUUAAAUAAAAAAUGACAGUGCCGGAAAUUGAUUACAGAAUUAUUGAUUUUUCUUUAUGAUCUACGCAGCAUCAAUCGUUCCCAUGUGAUAUAAUCUCGGAUAUAAUGUAGCUGAUCUACCGGCCUUAGGAAUGCUCAAACAAAUCCUACAGUGAUUCCUUAGCGAAACCCAUAGAGAUCCUCCAACGAUUCCCACAGGAAUUCCCAACCAAUGCCCAUAGAUACGGACAAACGAUACCUAAAGGAAUUCCCAAGAAAUGCCCACAAAAAUCUCCGAGCCGCAGUGAUCUCCAAGCGAAGCAAACCGGAAUCCCAAGCAAUGCCCACAGGAAUCCUCAAGCAAGGCGUACCGUGAUUCGCAAGCUAUGUACACAGUGAUCCACCAGCAUUUUCAAGAUGGGAAAAAUUGGCUUGAAGUUUAUUUCCGAAUUGAUGCUUUAUCACAUGGGACUGGCAGAGCGAUUCCUACAUGAAUUCCCAAGCGAUGCGAACCAAAAUCCCCAAGCAAUGUCAACAGGAGUUCCCAAGCAAUGCCGAUAGGAAUGCUCAAACAUUUCCGAGUGAUGCUCACAGUGAUCCAGCAGCGAUUCCCACAUGAAUCCACAAGUGAUGUCAACAGUGAUCUACCAGUGAUUUCUACAGGAGUUCUCAACCGAUGCCCACAGGAGUCCAAUAAGCCCUGCGAGCAAAGGCGAAGGUGAAACAUUCACGACUCUCUGGCAUAGUGUUUCCAUUGCACUUGCCAUACAAUAUACAGAAUCAUGCAAUGGCGGGCAUAGAAAA